RNAcentral lists this ribosomal RNA (253 nucleotides) under uncultured bacterium. Its description in RNAcentral is "partial 16S ribosomal RNA". It matches the Rfam family "Bacterial small subunit ribosomal RNA", at positions 524 to 776 of the family's 1533-position model. The record is from RNAcentral.
UACGUAGGGGGCGAGCGUUAUCCGGAUUCACUGGGUGUAAAGGGAGCGUAGACGGCCAUGCAAGCCAGGGGUGAAAGCCCGGGGCCCAACCCCGGGACUGCCCUUGGAACUGCAUGGCUGGAGUGCGGGAGGGGCAGGCGGAAUUCCUGGUGUAGCGGUGAAAUGCGUAGAUAUCAGGAGGAACACCGGCGGCGAAGGCGGCCUGCUGGACUGCGACUGGCGUUGAGGCUCGAAAGCGUGGGGAGCGAACAGG